Molecule: long non-coding RNA, 2497 nt
Organism: Passer montanus (Eurasian tree sparrow)
Lineage: Eukaryota; Metazoa; Chordata; Aves; Passeriformes; Passeridae
Exons: 5
Source: RefSeq, a predicted model, not a curated record
AAUAUGAUUUCUGAGUAAAAACAAGGUGUGGCUCAGUGAUAUAACUGCCCUGGCUGGUCACGUGCUAGGAACCAUGAGCAGCAGGAAAGCUUAGACACUCUUGUUUCCUGCAUGUCCUGAAAAAAUUACAGAAAAAGGGUAACAAUGUGACCAAACACCAUGGUGUUACUGAAAAUCUGUGCAUCCCCAAUAAAAACCAACAAUGUAAGUGUUUCAGUGUGACACUGGAUGGAAGAACAAAGGAACCAAUAUCUCUACAGAUCACAAUUAAUCAAAUAACCAUGCACACUGUUCUUCUGGAAGCAUCAGGAUUGUGGCAUGUUACACUGGAAACCUAAGAAACAGCACUGCAGCAUAAGAAGGUGCAGCAGUCCAGCCUGCUGGCACUGGCACAGUUUCUUUCAGAGAAGAAUCAAUUCCAUCCUUAUGCUGAUGUAUUUGAUCUACAUGAAUCCUCCAAUCCUAAAAAAGGCAUCACAAAUUAAAACACAGUCAUUACUGUUACCAGGAAAAGAAUGGAAAGAAGAAGAGGCAGAAAUACCAAAACUUAGUUUUGGUAACAGGAUACAUUUAGAAAGGGGAAAAUUAUUUCCAGCUUCAAGAUCAUAGGAAGCACACAUGGACUCCAGGGUGGGGGCUGAGAAAAGGUGCUGUGAAUUGGCCCUGCACACCAGGAGAACAAACCAAGAAGUAUUAAGGUCCACAUUUCUGAACAAAACAAGACAUGGAGAAUUUAUGAUAUGGAGCUUAUGAAGAGACAUAGUACCUGGGACAAGCUGGAAGACCAAAGCUACCCCAUAUUUCCUUCAGAGCUCAAGAGUAUUACAAAAAUAAACCAACUAACCAACAAAACCCAAACCCUAAAGCCUCUGACAUCAAAUGGCCCAUUAUCAUAGUUGUAUGUUAAUUGUAUUUUUUAUGUAUUUCUUAAAGCUCUACCUUAAAAAUAAAGCUCCAUCAAAACAAAAACCAAACCACAACGAGACCUCAACACAGCUUUCAAGAUAUUGUUUGCACAAUGUAUUUGAAGUUACAGAAUGAUGCCACAUCUUAAGUGUGCAGAGUAACACAACUGAAACUGAGGCAAUUGCUUUUUUCUUGCCCAUGAGACCACACACCAUGUUCAUGUACUCUAUGAAUCUGUUAUAGUCUCAAAAUCCCCUUCUUCUGUGAGUAUGAUCACCUGAGAGCUCAUCACCCAUAAGUAACGAUGCUUUUUGUGUGCAUUAACCUUCAUUUCUCUAUACUGUAUUUCAUCUGCCAUUUUAUCACCCAGACACUUCACCCUUAUACACCUUGUCCCCCUCUUGACUCUUUUCCACCAAAGUGAAAUUUUAUCAUCCACCUCCUUUCUACACAAAUCACAAAAGCUGCAAUAACACAGGUCUUAGGGUAAAAUCCUUCAAGACUCACUGAAAACCUGACAGCUUAUUUCUCUUUCCUCUACUUUACCCCGUUUUUAACUAACAGGGACCACUAUUUUCUUCUGGCAUGUCUGACCCCGAGUCCCCUGAAUACUUGCGAGAAAUUAAGACUAUAUGAAGACUAUCUUUUGCUAAUGGUCAAUACAUAUUUGCGCAGCAUUUGGAAGAACACACCACCAGAACAAGAAGACUGGUUAUCAGAAGUGAGAAGCCAGACUGUGCAGAUGUCCUUGCACACCCAGCCUCACUGCCUACUGCUGGCCACCUAAUACAGGCUAUCCCUGCUAGGCUUGUCUCUGUCAGCCUCAUCAUUUUUAUUCAGAAGACUCAAAACGAAAGAACAAUCAGUGAACCGCAUCAUUAAGAUUUAAUUGCUGAAAAUACUGCUAAAUUCAAUUAUGGAUACAGCUAAUAUCAAUAUACUGGCAGCAACAAUGGACUGGGAAAAAAAUUACAUUGGCAUGUAAUUAAUCCCUGUAGAACUACUAGGGGCUCUAAAAAGUGAGUAUCCUUCUGGUAUAAACUGCCUGGUAAUGCAAUACCUAGUAAAGGAAUAACACCUCAGUGUUUUAUUAACACACAUACAUUCCAAAGAGUUAAAAGAACACAUUAGUUAUGAAAAUCAUGGCCUAGGACAAUACCUGAGAACAAACCCAGAGAUUCUUUGAAGGAUUUAAACUGUGCUUUAGUUAACUGUUUCAUCCCCACUUCCCAAUUUAAGAAGCUUAGACCUUAACAAGAUAGAGAAAAGAGCAGACAGCUGUUUUCCUAUUUUAACCCUUUAGUUUAACAUCGAGAGUAGAUUUAUCAGUAGAAAAGAAACAAUUCUGAAUUUCUGUGUUUUUAAUGCAUAGUUAGAUUCCACUGCACAUAAGAACAUACACUCUGUCUUGAAGAGUUAAUCUUAUCUGAAAAGCAACAAAAAACCCUAGAGAGAAUCUGACAAUGCAGGAAUAGAGCUGCAGGAAAAAAACUUAAACAGCUAAUUGAAAAGGCUUCUUAAACAAAGCCAAACAAAAUGAACAGUGAAUAAAUAUUUCCUCAUAGUUGACCAAUACUAAUAUACCAAAUAA